This 678-nucleotide ribosomal RNA is filed under the name Triticum aestivum (bread wheat). RNAcentral's name for it is "partial small subunit ribosomal RNA". The record is from RNAcentral. Lineage: Eukaryota; Viridiplantae; Streptophyta; Magnoliopsida; Poales; Poaceae.
AUGGACACCAACUGGGGCGUUGGCGUCGGCGUUGACCUGAACGCCCCGCCGCCCACCGGCGGCGACGACUGGCGCGCCCAGCUCCUGCCCGAGGCGCGCAGCAGGGUCGUCAACAAGAUAAUGGAAUGUCUGAAGAAGCAUCUGCCGGUAUCAGUGCCAGAGGGACUGAACGAACUUCAAAUCAUCGCGGUGCGGUUCGAAGAUAAGAUCUAUACUGCAGCGACCAGCCAGUCUGAUUAUUUGCGGAAGAUCUCUCUGAAAAUGCUAUCUAUGGAGACGAAGGCACAACAGGCUCCUGGAAAUGCUCAAGUGAUUCCAAAUCUAAACAACCCCGGUCAAGCAUCAUGUUUAAGAAUGCCCGACGGAACCCCCUGGCGGCCCAUCCAGGGUUCAGACCCCGCUGCAGUCGCCGCUGCUGCCGGCGUUGAUCCGAACGCCCCGCCCCUCACCGGAGGUGAUUGGCGCCCCCAGCUUCAGCCUGAGGCGCGCAGCAGGAUCGUCAAUAAGAUAACGGAAUGUCUAAAGAAGCAUCUGCCAGUAUCAGUGCCAGAGGGACUGAACGAACUUCAAAAAUUCGCUGUGCGAAGCGAAGAGAAGAUCUAUACAGCAGCGACCAGCCAGGCUGAUUAUUUGCGGAAGAUUUCUCUGAAAAUACUAUCUAUGGAGAAGAACACAUAA